AACGAACGCUGGCGGCAGGCCUAACACAUGCAAGUCGAGCGAGGACUUCGGUUCUAGCGGCGGACGGGUGAGUAACGCGUGGGAAUGUGCCCUUCUCUACGGAAUAGCCCUGGGAAACUGGGAGUAAUACCGUAUACGCCCUUUUGGGGAAAGAUUUAUCGGAGAAGGAUCAGCCCGCGUUGGAUUAGGUAGUUGGUGGGGUAAUGGCCUACCAAGCCGACGAUCCAUAGCUGGUUUGAGAGGAUGAUCAGCCACACUGGGACUGAGACACGGCCCAGACUCCUACGGGAGGCAGCAGUGGGGAAUCUUAGACAAUGGGGGCAACCCUGAUCUAGCCAUGCCGCGUGAGCGAUGAAGGCCUUAGGGUUGUAAAGCUCUUUCACCGGGGAAGAUAAUGACGGUACCUGGAGAAGAAGCCCCGGCUAACUCCGUG
Molecule: ribosomal RNA, 433 nt
Filed under: uncultured bacterium
Lineage: Bacteria
Description: partial 16S ribosomal RNA
Rfam family: Bacterial small subunit ribosomal RNA
Source: RNAcentral